This 4142-nucleotide long non-coding RNA is filed under the name Homo sapiens (human). RNAcentral's name for it is "long non-coding RNA NONHSAT008782.2". Lineage: Eukaryota; Metazoa; Chordata; Mammalia; Primates; Hominidae. The record is from RNAcentral.
UUUAGGAAAGGAAGCAGGAUAGAUGGGUGACUGCCAGUGUUGGUGGGGCAGGUGGGCAGCAGUGGGUGCGUGGCGCAGCAGAAACACAGCCUCCAGAGUUUGGGCCCCUUUUCCGAAGCUCACCAGGCUAUCUGCCCAUCUUUUCCUCCCCCUCCCUCUAACUGCCUCCCUCCCCUGGUCCCUAGCACAGCUCCAGGGCACCCCUGGAGCAGCUGGAGAAUCUGGGUUGCGGUCCACCCCCAGGUGGCGCUGUGCUCCCGCACCAGGUUCAAGUGCACUAGAGGAGUGAUGACAUCAUCCAGGACGGAAACAGCAUCCCCACCGCGGGAGCACCGAGGAAGAGGGCAGCUCACUUGUUGCUCAGGACAGUAGGGAGUGGUUUUUCUCUCUGGCUAAAUCAUGUUUGAAGUUUGGUAGAAAGGGCUUCCUAAGGUGACAGGUUCUAUUGGACCCUUAAGAUUUGGAGGCAGGUUGUUUGGGUUCAGGUGAGCGUCCAGUGCUUUCCUGCAGCACCGUCACAGCCUUAUUUCAGUGAGGGAAGGAAGGGGAGCUGUUAAUGAGAAGCAGUUCUAUGGCCUGAAGACCUGGGCUCAAAACAAAACCAACAAACAAAACAGACCUGAGCUCUGACUUUUAUUAGCUGUGUGAUCAUGGAUAUAUUAGUUAACCUCUCUGGGCCAAAUUCUAUCUGCAAAAUAGAAUAUUGGUAUCCACCUCACAGAGUUGAAGGAUCAGCUGAAGCAACCUAAAGCAUCUAGCUAGUGCCCAGUGCCCAGCAGGCACAGGGGGGUGCAGUGGGACUGACAGUGAGGGCUGACAGUGGAAGCUCUAGCUGGCCUUAGCUCCAGCUCAUACCCUUUAGGUCCAGGAGCCAGUGUGUGUCUGUCUCCUCUCCUCUGGGCCCAGUGAUUGCUUAGGUGACUGGGGUGACAGGCAAGUGGGUGGAGGGAAUGGAGAAGAGUGUACCCUGGGAUCUGAGGGCUUUACCCCCAGGACUAGACUGCCCUCUGGUUUUGGUCAGACCUAGCACAGCGAUCUUGCUUCCUAGCUGGGGCACCCCACCCUCACCUCAAAGAUGGUGAAACUGCUGUGCCUCCUGCUGUUGAGGCAACCUGGAGGCAGAGAAACCUACAAGUGACACAGACCCAAGGUGGCAGUUCCACAGUGCCAAGGGGUGGCAGCACCUUCAAGAGAAUGAAAUUCAGAAAGAUGCCUUUCACCUACACCCGAUGGUGGGCAUGGCAGCAUUGUCAGCAUUCCUGCAGUUGGGGCAGGAAGUGGAAUUGGUGAGCAGGUGGGGAGGGCUGGGGAAGAUGAGGCCCCUCUGAGCCCUAGGGCACACAGAUAUGGGUGCUAUUCUCCAAAUAGUCACUCCACUUCUCUGCCUGCCGCCUUCCUGGGCCUGUGACUGCUGUGAGGACCUGGCCCUGAGCCCAUGGUUAGGCAGAGUCAUGGAAUGAGCAUCCCUGAACAUGCCUAAUAUAGCCAUCCCAGCACCCUGGGCUCCACUCUGCCCCAGCACCCCUGAGAACAACUCUGGCUACUGACUCCAGGCAGCAGGACUGGUUCAGGAGCAGACCUAGUAGAGGCCUGGCCUUCUAGACCUGGACAACCAGGUCAGUGGAGAGUCUUCUGCUUAGAGUUCAGAUUUUCCUCCAUGCUGCACUUUCUGAGGAUGUGAAUUUAUUUCUUGGCCAACUCAAAUAGUGUGGCAGGGAACCUGAGCUUCUAGAGUCCUCCAGGGAGCCCAGGGUUAGGAUCAGGACUCACAGUUCAGGACAACAGGUGGGGCACAGCCAUUCACAGCUAAAGGUUUGUAUAUAUUAUCAAAAUCUUAUGGAAAAACAGAUACACAGCUAUUCAUACAGCAGCAGGUGGGUGUGAGGAAAAUGUCUGCUUUGGCAUCAAACCUUCAAGUCCAGCUGCUGUCUGUCCCACUCCUCCUGUCUGGAGCCUACUCCCAUCAGGCACUGUGCAUCCAGGCCACUGCCCCUGCCACAUCCUCUAAUUAGCCUGGACUUUGGGGUAUCCUCAGCCCCUCCCCACGCUCCCCUUUGGGCCCCCAUGCCUCUCCAUCUUUCUGCCAUUUUCCCACACAGAGUGCCACUGGCCCAGCAGCUUUGCCCCGUGGGCUCCUCAGAGGCCUGAAUCCUGGCCCUGGAGGGCAGUGGGGCUGGGGUGGAUGUGGUCCCUGUGGGACAUCUUUCCUGGAUCACAGGCCUUUUGCAGCUUGCCAGCUACAUGGGCCCUGGACAGUGCCAUCUUCUCAGUGAUGUGCUAAAAGGACUCUUCUUGUCCAGAAACCUGAGCUCCAUGUACUAAAGCAAAAUUUGGAGAGCCUCAGAGACAAGAAAAGGAAAGUGAGAAGAGAUAAGGCAUCCUUCCUUGAGCGUGACCCAGGCCUGGACUCUCCCAUGGCAGAAUAGGGACAUCCACAGCAGGUCAGCCAGGGAUGGGGUGGGCAGGGUCUGUGUAGCCCUGGGAGGUGAGGCCUGAGCAGUCAUGGCAUUGGCAGAUGGUGCCUGGCAGCCUGGUCCUACUGAAGCAGUUUGGGCACUUCCACCUGUAGGGGCAAAGUAGAGACAGGUUAGAGAAGGGAGCUCAGCCACCUCACCUCCCUCCCUACUGGAAGGACACACAAGACACUGCAAUAUGUUAUGUCUGUGGAAUGUGAAUGAGGUGUUGACACUGAGGGAGCAUUUUUCAUUGUCUGUAAAAAUUGGAUGUCAUUGAGUGACCACUGGAAUUACAAUUGAGAUUUUCCUUUAUCUCAUGAUACCUUGUCCCAGAUGAUGUUGUGGGGGUUGGGUAUCCAACCAAAUGGACAAACGAUCGUGGACUUUGUCACCCAGGCCAGACUUCCAGGGGAGGCAGGGCUUGGAGAAGUAGGGUGUCCAGGGAUGGCUCCUGUGUCCAUGGCACUGGCUAGGCAAAGGUAGACUCUCCUGAGAGGUGAAUCUCCCAGAGACCUUUCGGAUGGACUGACCUGUAGGACUUGGCUGGUCCUGAGAGGAGGCUAAGUAAAACGUGGAUCAUUUUUGUUUGGGGAAAUGGAGAAGACUUAAAGGAAGGACCCGAGGCAAAACUACUCUGUAGAGGCCAUUUCUCCAUUUUAAGGAGAAACAGGCUUCAUUGCAGAAUGAAAGAGAAGCAUGGAGUGAGGUAUUAAAGGAAGCUCCUUAAAGGAAGGGUAGAGUCUCAGCUCUAGGGGAUAUACAGGUGUGACCUGCCUGCAGGCAGGAGGAUGCAUGAGAUGACCUGAAGUCCCCUAUGGGCCCUGGGAGUCUAUAUCAUCUGCAGCCGACAUAAGCUCCUCUGCAUGCCUUCCCUUUUGCAGUCCUACCCUCUCCUCCAGGCCCUACCCAGCCCCGCCCUGUUGGCUCAUGCCCACAACUACUUAACUUCUUGAGCUGCUUGAGGUUGCUGGAGCGGAUGGCAGCCAAUAGCUGGUCACGGGAGUUCUUCUCCUGGGCAGGGAGGACUUUGUCUCCCAUCUUCCUCUGGGUAGCUGGUGAGAGUGAAUUCUUCAGGUUCUCCAUGAUAAGGGGUGGAGCCAAGGGAGGGGGAGGGGGUGGUGGGGCAGCUGGAGCACCCCCUUUUUUGGGUGAGUUCUUUGGAGAGGGCUUUGGAGAUGGUUGAGGUGAAGGUUUUGGGGAGCCCUUAGCCACGGCCCCGGCCUUGGGUACCUCCAGCAGAUCCUUCUUCUCUCCCUUGGCUUCCUGUGCCUGCCUUUGCUCCUGCAGCCGCUUUUGUCUCUGCUUGUCCAUGUUGCGGCUGAGCAGAUUGGUGACAGUCAUUCGGGGCCCGGCCAGCUCAAAAUGGUAGCCCAGCUUGAGCAGGGUAGUAUUCUCCUUCAGCAGCUUGGCGAUCUCCAUCUCCGUCUUGCCUCCACAGAUGUGUCGCUGGUUGUGGAAGCGGAGCUCGGUCAGCGUGUUGUUCUGGAGGAGGGCCCGGAAGAUGGCCAGGAUGCCUUUGCCUGUGAUGUGGUUGGAGUCCAGGUUGAGGCUGGUGAUGGUCUUGUUGGCCUUGAGCAUGAUGGCAAUGGCAAAGGCCACGUGGUCAUCGGCUCGCGUGUUGGCCAAGGCGAACAGCUUAACCACAGUGUUGAACUCCAGAGCCUCAGUAAACCGGACCAAGAUCUC